GAAAUGCGAUAAGUAGUGUGAAUUGCAGAAUUCAGUGAAUCAUCGAAUCUUUGAACGCACAUUGCGCCCCUUGGUAUUCCAUGGGGCAUGCCUGUUCGAGCGUCAUUUGUGCCCUCAAGCUCUGCUUGGUGUUGGGUGUUUGUCCCCGUCUCCGCGCGUGGACUCGCCCCAAAGUGAUUGGCAGCCGGCGUACUGGUCCCGGAGCGCAGCACAUGUCGCGCAAACGAGUGCCUUGGUACGGCGGCGUCCAUAAGCCCCUCUCUCACGCUCUUGACCUCGGAUCAGGUAGGGAUACCCGCUGAACUUAAGC
This 310-nucleotide unclassified non-coding RNA is filed under the name plant metagenome. RNAcentral's name for it is "partial contains 5.8S ribosomal RNA, internal transcribed spacer 2, and large subunit ribosomal RNA". The stretch from base 1 to 105 matches the Rfam family "5.8S ribosomal RNA", at positions 50 to 154 of the family's 154-position model. The record is from RNAcentral.